RNAcentral lists this ribosomal RNA (468 nucleotides) under uncultured bacterium. RNAcentral describes it as "partial 16S ribosomal RNA". It matches the Rfam family "Bacterial small subunit ribosomal RNA", at positions 29 to 507 of the family's 1533-position model. The record is from RNAcentral.
ACGAACGCUGGCGGCGUGCUUAACACAUGCAAGUCGAACGGAAAGGCCCUGCUCGCAGGGUGCUCGAGUGGCGAACGGGUGAGUAACACGUGGGUGAUCUGCCCCUUACUUUGGGAUAAGCCUGGGAAACUGGGUCUAAUACUGGAUAGGACCAUGCUGUAGGUGGUGUGGUGGAAAGAUUAGUUUCGGUAAGGGAUGAGCUCGCGGCCUAUCAGCUUGUUGGUGGGGUAAUGGCCUACCAAGGCGUCGACGGGUAGCCGGCCUGAGAGGGUGGACGGCCACAUUGGGACUGAGAUACGGCCCAGACUCCUACGGGAGGCAGCAGUGGGGAAUAUUGCACAAUGGGCGCAAGCCUGAUGCAGCGACGCCGCGUGGGGGAUGACGGCCUUCGGGUUGUAAACUCCUUUCAGCCAUGACGAAGCCCUUGUGGUGACGGUAGUGGUAGAAGAAGCACCGGCUAACUACGUG